AGUGGCGGACGGGUGAGUAACACGUAGGUAACCUACCCUUGGGCGGGGGACAACUCAGGGAAACUUGAGCUAAUACCGCAUAAGACCACGGACUGAAAUGUUUGUGGGAAAAGUGGCGACACACCCAGGGAUGGGCCUGCGGCCUAUCAGGUAGUUGGUGGGGUAACGGCCCACCAAGCCUAAGACGGGUAGCCGGGCUGAGAGGUUGAACGGCCACACUGGAACUGAGACACGGUCCAGACUCCUACGGGAGGCAGCAGUGGGGAAUCUUGCGCAAUGGGGGAAACCCUGACGCAGCGACGCCGCGUGGAGGAUGAAGGUCUUCGGGUUGUAAACUCCUUUUCUUGGGGAAAAUAGUGAUGGUACCCAAGGAAUAAGCCACGGCUAACUCUGUGCCAGCAGCCGCGGUAAGACAGAGGUGGCGAGCGUUGUUCGGAAUUACUGGGCUUAAAGGGCGAGUAGGCGG
Molecule: ribosomal RNA, 466 nt
Filed under: uncultured bacterium
Lineage: Bacteria
Description: bacterial SSU rRNA
Rfam family: Bacterial small subunit ribosomal RNA
Source: RNAcentral